RNAcentral lists this ribosomal RNA (491 nucleotides) under uncultured bacterium. RNAcentral's name for it is "partial 16S ribosomal RNA". It matches the Rfam family "Bacterial small subunit ribosomal RNA", at positions 29 to 506 of the family's 1533-position model. The record is from RNAcentral.
AGUGAACGCUGGCGGUAGGCCUAACACAUGCAAGUCGAACGGCAGCACAGUAAGAGCUUGCUCUUACGGGUGGCGAGUGGCGGACGGGUGAGGAAUACAUCGGAAUCUACUUUUUCGUGGGGGAUAACGUAGGGAAACUUACGCUAAUACCGCAUACGACCUACGGGUGAAAGCAGGGGAUCUUCGGACCUUGCGCGAUUGAAUGAGCCGAUGUCGGAUUAGCUAGUUGGCGGGGUAAAGGCCCACCAAGGCGACGAUCCGUAGCUGGUCUGAGAGGAUGAUCAGCCACACUGGAACUGAGACGCGGUCCAGACUCCUACGGGAGGCAGCAGGGGGGAAUAUUGGACAAUGGGCGCAAGCCUGAUCCAGCCAUACCGCGUGGGUGAAGGAGGCCUUCGGGUUGUAAAGCCCUUUUGUUGGGAAAGAAAAGCAGCAGGUUAAUACCCCGCUGUUCUGACGGUACCCAAAGAAUAAGCACCGGCAAACUUCGU